This 443-nucleotide ribosomal RNA is filed under the name uncultured bacterium. RNAcentral's name for it is "partial 16S ribosomal RNA". It matches the Rfam family "Bacterial small subunit ribosomal RNA", at positions 338 to 795 of the family's 1533-position model. The record is from RNAcentral.
CCUACGGGUGGCAGCAGUGGGGAAUAUUGGGCAAUGGGCGCAAGCCUGACCCAGCAACGCCGCGUGAAGGAAGAAGGCUUUCGGGUUGUAAACUUCUUUUCUGAGGGACGAAGAAAGUGACGGUACCUCAGGACUAAGCCACUGCUAACUUCGUGCACGCCGCCGCGGUAAUACGGAGGUGCGAAGCGUCAUCCGGAUUUAUUGGGUGUAAAGGGCGUGUAGGCGGGAAAGAAAGUCAGAUGUGAAGACUGAGGGCUCAACCCUGAGCCUGCAUUGGAAACUGUUUUUCUUGAGUGCUGGAGAGGCAAGUGGAAUUCCGGGUGUAGCGGUGAAAUGCGUAGAUAUAAGGAGGAACACCAGUGGCGAAGGCGGAUUACUGGACAGUAACUGACGCUGAGGCGCGAAAGCGUGGGGAGCAAACAGGAUUAGAUACCCUUGUAGUC